UGGGGAAUAUUGGGCAAUGGGGGAAACCCUGACCCAGCAACGCCGCGUGAAGGAAGAAGGCCCUCGGGUUGUAAACUUCUUUUACCAGGGACGAAGAAUGUGACGGUACCUGGAGAAAAAGCAACGGCUAACUACGUGCCAGCAGCCGCGGUAAUACGUAGGUGGCAAGCGUUAUCCGGAUUUACUGGGUGUAAAGGGCGCGUAAGCGGGGAUACAAGUCAGGUGUGAAAUCUAUGGGCUUAACCCAUAAACUGCACUUGAAACUGUAUCUCUUGAGUGUCGGAGAGGUAGACGGAAUUCCUAGUGUAGCGGUGAAAUGCGU
This 322-nucleotide ribosomal RNA is filed under the name uncultured Oscillospiraceae bacterium. Its description in RNAcentral is "bacterial SSU rRNA". It matches the Rfam family "Bacterial small subunit ribosomal RNA", at positions 355 to 691 of the family's 1533-position model. Lineage: Bacteria; Bacillati; Bacillota; Clostridia; Eubacteriales; Oscillospiraceae. The record is from RNAcentral.